AAAAAUACACGUGGAAAUGUGGUUGACUCUUCCCACUGCAUCUUGCUUUCUCCAGGAAUCGCUUCUAGGCAAAACUCGGGCCAGAAAUAUGAUCACGUUUUCAAGCAGCUGCAAAAUUUUACACAUGAAGCGAACGAGCAGUUCUCGGGAAAGGAAUGACAGCUGCAGCAGAACAGGAGCAGUGCCCCUACCUCAAAUACGUCAGCAACGAAGGGUCUAUUUACUGUCUAUUCCUCCAGUUUCUGCAGCGCUGCCUCCUGUGGCCUGGUGGCAGGAGAGGAAAGUCUCCUUAGGAGCAGCCUGGGAUGUGAGACAGGUUUCCACACUGUCCUCACACACUCUUCCAGAACCCAACCUCUCUUUUUCUCUGUGCUGUGUCUUGAGGCACCAGUGCAAGACAAGGCCUGUGCUUACAAGGGCUGCCCACAUUCAGGACCCCUGAGAGCCAACUAACUGGUCAGUGCCACGGAGAUCUGGCCAAGAUUUAGCUCUGGAUUUCUCUCCAGGAAAAAACUACACAUUGGAAGAAAGGGACAGCCCCCACUGUUCUCCAGCCUUUUUCUUUUGUGCCGCAAUGCA
Molecule: long non-coding RNA, 579 nt
Organism: Zonotrichia leucophrys gambelii
Lineage: Eukaryota; Metazoa; Chordata; Aves; Passeriformes; Passerellidae
Exons: 3
Source: RefSeq, a predicted model, not a curated record